AUCCGGCUGAUGAGUCUCAAAUAGGAUGAAAGGCGCGUGCUGGAU
This 45-nucleotide non-coding RNA is filed under the name Schistosoma mattheei. Lineage: Eukaryota; Metazoa; Platyhelminthes; Trematoda; Strigeidida; Schistosomatidae. The record is from RNAcentral.